GUUUCAGGGCGGAGUGAAAUUCUCCACCGGUGGUAAUAAAGGGUUACCUUUUAGUCCACGAGCUUUGCUGACUCUGGUGUGAUUCCAGGACCGACGGUAUAGUCCGGAUGAAAGAAA
This 117-nucleotide non-coding RNA is filed under the name human gut metagenome. Its description in RNAcentral is "FMN riboswitch (RFN element)". It matches the Rfam family "FMN riboswitch aptamer (RFN element)". Rfam says of the family: The RFN element is a highly conserved domain that is found frequently in the 5'-untranslated regions of prokaryotic mRNAs that encode for flavin mononucleotide (FMN) biosynthesis and transport proteins. This element is a metabolite-dependent riboswitch that directly binds FMN in the absence of proteins. RNAcentral also lists the same sequence under 1 other name. The record is from RNAcentral.